This 213-nucleotide non-coding RNA is filed under the name Paucilactobacillus vaccinostercus. RNAcentral's name for it is "Lactobacillus vaccinostercus T-box sequence". It matches the Rfam family "T-box leader". From Rfam's summary of the family: Uncharged tRNA acts as the effector for transcription antitermination of genes in the T-box leader family. T-boxes are found upstream of many aminoacyl-tRNA synthetase genes and some amino acid biosynthetic genes usually in Gram-positive bacteria. The anticodon of a specific tRNA base pairs to a specifier sequence within the T-box motif, and the NCCA acceptor tail of the tRNA base pairs to a conserved bulge in the T-box antiterminator hairpin. The record is from RNAcentral. Lineage: Bacteria; Bacillati; Bacillota; Bacilli; Lactobacillales; Lactobacillaceae.
AUGAAAAUAAUGAAGAGAACAGCAAGUCGGUUAGACGUGCUUGAAAGCGAGUCAACGAGUGGUGAAAGGUUGACCAAGUUACGAAACUGAUAGAUCAUCUCCGAAUAUUUAGUCGAUUAUGUUAGACUAAGUCGGGUCAUCCCCGUUAUUGAAUGACAAAGAGAAUUUUUUAAUUCUAAAUUUGGGUGGUACCACGAAAUCUUCGUCCCUUGC